RNAcentral lists this ribosomal RNA (465 nucleotides) under Vreelandella stevensii. RNAcentral's name for it is "partial 16S ribosomal RNA". It matches the Rfam family "Bacterial small subunit ribosomal RNA", at positions 338 to 795 of the family's 1533-position model. The record is from RNAcentral. Lineage: Bacteria; Pseudomonadati; Pseudomonadota; Gammaproteobacteria; Oceanospirillales; Halomonadaceae.
CCUACGGGCGGCUGCAGUGGGGAAUAUUGGACAAUGGGCGAAAGCCUGAUCCAGCCAUGCCGCGUGUGUGAAGAAGGCCUUCGGGUUGUAAAGCACUUUCAGUGGGGAAGAAAGCCUUGGGGCUAAUACCCUCGAGGAAGGACAUCACCCACAGAAGAAGCACCGGCUAACUCCGUGCCAGCAGCCGCGGUAAUACGGAGGGUGCGAGCGUUAAUCGGAAUUACUGGGCGUAAAGCGCGCGUAGGCGGUCUGAUAAGCCGGUUGUGAAAGCCCCGGGCUCAACCUGGGAACGGCAUCCGGAACUGUCGAGCUAGAGGGAAGGGAAGUGAGGUAACCUUCAGGGUGGAGGGGUGAAAGCAGUAGAGAGCGGGACGAAUACAGGUGGCGAAGGUGGCCGUAUGAUAGGACCAGGCCGCUGUGGUGCGCAAGCGUGGGUAGCAAACAGGCGUAGAUACCCUGGUAGUC